UACAGGGGGUGCAAACGUUGCUCGGAAUCAUUGGGCGUAAAGCGCACGUAGGCGGUCUGUUAUGUCGGAUGUGAAAGCCCUUGGCUCAACUGAGGAAGUGCAUCCGAAACUGGCAGGCUAGAGUACUAAAGAGGGUCGCGGAAUUCCCGGUGUAGAGGUGAAAUUCGUAGAUAUCGGGAGGAACACCGGUGGCGAAGGCGGCUUCCUGGACCGACACUGACGCUGAGGCGCGAAAGCUAGGGGAGCAAACGGG
RNAcentral lists this ribosomal RNA (253 nucleotides) under uncultured bacterium. RNAcentral's name for it is "partial 16S ribosomal RNA". It matches the Rfam family "Bacterial small subunit ribosomal RNA", at positions 524 to 776 of the family's 1533-position model. The record is from RNAcentral.